GAUGAACGCUGGCGGCGUGCUUAACACAUGCAAGUCGAACGGUGAAGCCAAGCUUGCUUGGUGGAUCAGUGGCGAACGGGGGAGUAACACGUGAGCAACCUGCCCUGGACUCUGGGAUAAGCGCUGGAAACGGCGUCUAAUACUGGAUAUGAGCCUCUUCCGCAUGUUGGGGGGUGGAAAGAUUUUUUGGUCUGGGAUGGGCUCGCGGCCUAUCAGCUUGUUGGUGAGGUAAUGGCUCACCAAGGCGUCGACGGGUAGCCGGCCUGAGAGGGUGACCGGCCACACUGGGACUGAGACACGGCCCAGACUCCUACGGGAGGCAGCAGUGGGGAAUAUUGCACAAUGGGCGAAAGCCUGAUGCAGCAACGCCGCGUGAGGGAUGACGGCCUUCGGGUUGUAAACCUCUUUUAGCAGGGAAGAAGCGAAAGUGACGGUACCUGCAGAAAAAGCGCCGGCUAACUACGUG
Molecule: ribosomal RNA, 466 nt
Filed under: uncultured bacterium
Lineage: Bacteria
Description: partial 16S ribosomal RNA
Rfam family: Bacterial small subunit ribosomal RNA
Source: RNAcentral